Molecule: ribosomal RNA, 429 nt
Filed under: uncultured bacterium
Lineage: Bacteria
Description: bacterial SSU rRNA
Rfam family: Bacterial small subunit ribosomal RNA
Source: RNAcentral
UCGGGAAUUUUGGGCAAUGGGCGAAAGCCUGACCCAGCAACGCCGCGUGAAGGAUGAAGUAUUUCGGUAUGUAAACUUCGAAAGAAUAGGAAGAAUAAAUGACGGUACUAUUUAUAAGGUCCGGCUAACUACGUGCCAGCAGCCGCGGUAAUACGUAGGGACCAAGCGUUGUUCGGAUUUACUGGGCGUAAAGGGCGCGUAGGCGGCAAUUCAAGUCAUCUGUGAAAUCUCCGGGCUUAACUCGGAACGGUCAGAUGAUACUGCUUUGCUAGAGUGCAGAAGGGGCAAUCGGAAUUCUUGGUGUAGCGGUGAAAUGCGUAGAUAUCAAGAGGAACACCUGAGGUGAAGACGGGUUGCUGGGCUGACACUGACGCUGAGGCGCGAAAGCCAGGGGAGCAAACGGGAUUAGAUACCCCAGUAGUCCCUGAG